This is a long non-coding RNA of Bos indicus x Bos taurus (hybrid cattle), 229 nucleotides long. The record is from Ensembl. NCBI's taxonomy places the organism in Eukaryota, Metazoa, Chordata, Mammalia, Artiodactyla, Bovidae.
GGCCUUUGCUUUGAGUGCAUCCUGAUCUGGACACUGCGUUCUGUGACCUCAUCUCUCAUCUCCCUCCUGGGCUGCAGCCUGCACUCCACAGCCUUAUCAAGGACCGACCCUCCCUGCGGGAGUGAGGACAAGGCUGGAGCCAAGAACAACCUGUAGUUCUGCACACAGCCGCUGGAGUUGCCUGCCGAAUGUGCUCCCAAAGGAAACGUCAGAGUCAGCAGGAGCUGAG